UACGUAGGGGGCAAGCGUUGUCCGGAAUUAUUGGGCGUAAAGAGCGUGUAGGCGGUCCGGUAAGUCGGCUGUGAAAGUCCAGGGCUCAACCCUGGGAUGCCGGUCGAUACUGCCGGACUAGAGUUCGGAAGAGGCGAGUGGAAUUCCCGGUGUAGCGGUGAAAUGCGCAGAUAUCGGGAGGAACACCUAUGGCGAAGGCAGCUCGCUGGGACGUUACUGACGCUGAGGAGCGAAAGCGUGGGGAGCGAACAGG
Molecule: ribosomal RNA, 253 nt
Filed under: uncultured bacterium
Lineage: Bacteria
Description: partial 16S ribosomal RNA
Rfam family: Bacterial small subunit ribosomal RNA
Source: RNAcentral